CAGCAGCCGCGGUAAUACAGAGGAUGCAAGCGUUAUCCAGAAUGAUUGGGCGUAAAGCGUCUGUAGGUGGCUUUUCAAGUCCGCUGUCAAAUCCCAGGGCUCAACCCUGGACAGGCGGUGGAAACUACCAAGCUAGAGUACGGUAGGGGCAGAGGGAAUUUCCAGUGGAGCGGUGAAAUGCGUUGAGAUCGGAAAGAACACCAACGGCGAAAGCACUCUGCUGGGCCGACACUGACACUGAGAGACGAAAGCUAGGGGAGCAAAUGGGAUUAGAUACCCCGGUAGUCCCUGUCUCUUAUAA
This 301-nucleotide ribosomal RNA is filed under the name uncultured bacterium. RNAcentral describes it as "partial 16S ribosomal RNA". It matches the Rfam family "Bacterial small subunit ribosomal RNA", at positions 509 to 809 of the family's 1533-position model. The record is from RNAcentral.